This 270-nucleotide ribosomal RNA is filed under the name uncultured archaeon. RNAcentral's name for it is "partial 16S ribosomal RNA". It matches the Rfam family "Archaeal small subunit ribosomal RNA", at positions 477 to 747 of the family's 1478-position model. The record is from RNAcentral.
CAGCACCUCAAGUGGUCAGGAUGAUUAUUAGGCCUAAAGCAUCCGUAGCCGGCGCUGUAAGUUUUCGGUUAAAUCUGUACGCUCAACGUACAGGCUGCCGGGAAUACUGCAGCGCUAGGGAGUGGGAGAGGUAGACGGUACUCGGUAGGAAGGGGUAAAAUCCUUUGAUCUAUUGAUGACCACCUGUGGCGAAGGCGGUCUACCAGAACACGUCCGACGGUGAGGGAUGAAAGCUGGGGGAGCAAACCGGAUUAGAUACCCGAGUAGUCC